GAUUAACGCUAGCGGCAGGCCUAAUACAUGCAAGUCGAACGGGAUUCAAAGUAGCAAUAUUUUGAUGAGAGUGGCGCACGGGUGAGUAACACGUAUGCAAUUUACCUUUAACUGGGGGAUAGCCCUCCGAAAGGAGGAUUAAUACCGCAUAAUAUAUUGAAAUGGCAUCAUUUUAAUAUUAAACCUACGGGGGUUAAAGAUGAGCAUGCAUCCGAUUAGCUAGUUGGUGUGGUAACGGCUCACCAAGGCAACGAUCGGUAGGGGGUCUGAGAGGAUGAUCCCCCACACUGGUACUGAGACACGGACCAGACUCCUACGGGAGGCAGCAGUAAGGAAUAUUGGACAAUGGAGGCAACUCUGAUCCAGCCAUGCCGCGUGAAGGAUUAAGGCCCUAUGGGUUGUAAACUUCUUUUAGACGGGACAAAACCCCUUUACGUGUAAAGGGUUGAUGGUACUGUCAGAAUAAGCAUCGGCUAACUUCGUGCCAGCAGCCGCGGUAAUACGUAGCGU
RNAcentral lists this ribosomal RNA (510 nucleotides) under uncultured bacterium. Its description in RNAcentral is "bacterial SSU rRNA". It matches the Rfam family "Bacterial small subunit ribosomal RNA", at positions 28 to 533 of the family's 1533-position model. The record is from RNAcentral.